RNAcentral lists this transfer RNA (77 nucleotides) under Candidatus Dependentiae bacterium HGW-Dependentiae-1. Its description in RNAcentral is "tRNA-Lys". It matches the Rfam family "tRNA". Rfam says of the family: Transfer RNA (tRNA) molecules are approximately 80 nucleotides in length. The record is from RNAcentral.
GGGCUGCUAGCUCAAUUGGCUAGAGCGACAGACUCUUAAUCUGUAGGUUCUUGGUUCGAUUCCAAGGCAGCCCACCA